GAAUGGCAUCACGAAGGUUAUACUGUCUCCUUUUUCUAAUCAGUGAAACUAAUCUCCCCGUGAAGAAGCGGGGAUAAAUUUAUAAGACGAGAAGACCCUAUGGAGCUUUAAACUAAAACAAUUAUCUUAUUACUAACCUAAUCCUCAUGGUAAACAAACCUUUGAUAAUGUGACUUACAGUUUUCGGUUGGGGUGACCACGGAGUAAAACACAUCCUCCGCGAUGAAUAGGAUUAUUCCUAAGUAAAAAAUUACAAUUUUAUACAUCAACAAAUUGACACCAUUGACCCAAUAUUUUUGAUCAACGAACCAAGUUACCCUAGGGAUAACAGCGCAAUCCAUCUUAAGAGCUCAUAUCGACAGAUGG
Molecule: ribosomal RNA, 366 nt
Filed under: Phrynomedusa marginata (bi-colored leaf frog)
Lineage: Eukaryota; Metazoa; Chordata; Amphibia; Anura; Hylidae
Description: partial 16S ribosomal RNA
Rfam family: Bacterial large subunit ribosomal RNA
Source: RNAcentral